AGAUAUAAAAAUUAAUAAUUAAUAACAUUAUAAUUAUUUUAAAUGUUUUUAUUAUAAUUAAUGCAUUGCCUUAAGAUUUGGUUCCCAAAAUGGGCUUGAUGUUGAAAAUAAUCCACAUGAUGCGGAGUUUGUCGAUCCAAAGUCCCCCAUAGAUAUUGGUUCCCAAAAUUGGCUUGAUGAAAAUAAUUCACAUGAUGCGGAGUUUGUCGAUCCAAAGUCCCCCAUAGAUAUUGGUUCCCAAAAUUGGCUUGAUGAUGAAAAUAAUCCACACAAUGCAGAGUUUGUCGAUCCAAAGUCUCCCAUAGCAGCACAUCUGGAUGAAGAUCAAGGUAGUGGUUCCCAAAAUGUUGGGCUUGAAGAUAAUUCAACUUGACUUAUCAAUCCAAAGACUCACAUAG
This is a long non-coding RNA of Gordionus sp. m RMFG-2023, 398 nucleotides long. RefSeq lists it as uncharacterized. Lineage: Eukaryota; Metazoa; Nematomorpha; Gordioida; Chordodea; Parachordodidae. The record is from RefSeq and is a predicted model, not a curated record. The transcript is spliced from 4 exons.